Non-coding RNA from Vicia faba (fava bean), 166 nucleotides. The record is from the annotation of a GenBank genome assembly. NCBI's taxonomy places the organism in Eukaryota, Viridiplantae, Streptophyta, Magnoliopsida, Fabales, Fabaceae.
AUGGAUAUAGCAAGUCAAGUAAUUUGGUGUUGCUCCAUCUUCAUGAAAUUUCUGAUACGAAUCCUUCAGAUGGCUCCCGACUUUCUGAACUCAGAACAGCCCCUGCGUUGUGUAAUUUUAAACCACAUUCGGCGCAAAAUAAUAAGCUCUGCCCUGUUUCAAAAUG